This 102-nucleotide Y RNA is filed under the name Aotus nancymaae (Ma's night monkey). Its description in RNAcentral is "Y RNA (ENSANAG00000002829.1)". It matches the Rfam family "Y RNA". From Rfam's summary of the family: Y RNAs are components of the Ro ribonucleoprotein particle (Ro RNP), in association with Ro60 and La proteins. The Y RNAs and Ro60 and La proteins are well conserved, but the function of the Ro RNP is not known. In humans the RNA component can be one of four small RNAs -- hY1, hY3, hY4 and hY5. The record is from Rfam by way of RNAcentral. Lineage: Eukaryota; Metazoa; Chordata; Mammalia; Primates; Aotidae.
GGCUGGUCCAAGUGCAGUGGUGUUUACAACUAAUUGAUCACAACCAGUUACGGAUUUCUUUGUUCCUUCUCCACUCCCACUGCUUCACUUGACUAGCCUUAA